UACGUAGGGGGCAAGCGUUGUCCGGAAUCAUUGGGCGUAAAGCGCGCGUAGGUGGCCCCGUAAGUCCGCUGUGAAAGUCAAAGGCUCAACCUUUGAAAGCCGGUGGAUACUGUGGGACUAGAGUACGGAAGAGGCGAGUGGAAUUCCUGGUGUAGCGGUGGAAUGCGCAGAUAUCAGGAGGAACACCAAUAGCGAAGGCAGCUCGCUGGGACGUUACUGACACUGAGGCGCGAAAGCGUGGGGAGCGAACAGG
Molecule: ribosomal RNA, 253 nt
Filed under: uncultured bacterium
Lineage: Bacteria
Description: partial 16S ribosomal RNA
Rfam family: Bacterial small subunit ribosomal RNA
Source: RNAcentral